RNAcentral lists this ribosomal RNA (489 nucleotides) under uncultured bacterium. RNAcentral describes it as "partial 16S ribosomal RNA". It matches the Rfam family "Bacterial small subunit ribosomal RNA", at positions 28 to 523 of the family's 1533-position model. The record is from RNAcentral.
GACGAACGCUGGCGGCGUGCUUAACACAUGCAAGUCGAGCGGAAAGGCCCUUUCGGUGGUACUCGAGCGGCGAACGGGUGAGUAACACGUGAGUAAUCUGCCCUUGGCUUUGGGAUAACCACCGGAAACGGUGGCUAAUACCGGAUAUGACGCGCCCCGGCAUCGGGGUGUGUGGAAAGUUUUUUCGGCCAGGGAUGUGCUCGCGGCCUAUCAGCUUGUUGGUGGGGUAAUGGCCUACCAAGGCUUCGACGGGUAGCCGGCCUGAGAGGGUGACCGGCAACACUGGGACUGGGACACGGCCCAGACUCCUACGGGAGGCAGAAGUGGGGAAUAUUGGACAAUGGGCGGAAGCCUGAUCCAGCAACGCCGCGUGAGGGAUGACGGCCUUCGGGUUGUAAACCUCUUUCAGUACCGACGAAGCGCCGAUGAUGGUGGUGACGGUAGGUACAGAAGAAGCACCGGCCAACUACGUGCCAGCCGCCGCGGUAA